ACGUCAACAUUCACGUUCAGGGUUUUGUCAAAGAUCGCGGAAGUUGCCGCUUAAAACUCCAUCGCUGCAAAUUUUUGCCAUUUCUGAGGUCUUGUUGUAGCCUAGACAGUAAAACCAGACGUUUUAGUACACAACUGCUGCCCUACAUUCAGCAGAUGGUCCGUAAAACUGGAUACAAGGUGCAUAUACGGACCGCCCCUCGACUUCCGCUUCAACAGGUCAAAGUGCAACCUGUCGUUUCCGCCACAACAGAACCAAAACAUGUCUGUUUUCCCUGGUUCUGAGUAAAGACGUUUGUUGAAAUAACCGGGUAAGAAUGCGGUUAUGUUUAAAACCUUGCGUCAAGAGAUCAACGAUGUGACUCCAGAUCCCUGUACUAUGUUGAUUUUAACUUGAGGUACAUUGCACAAGUCUGGCAGUUUCCUGGACACUCCACAGCGGAGACAGGUGGCUUUCUUCACAUGGAGAGAUUAGGAGAUGGCUGGACAUUACUGAUGAUGUAACCAGUAACCAAGGAGACCUUUUCGCUGCAAUUGGGAUGUAACAGUGCCUUCAGCUUUAUCAUUGAAAGCCUCCGCUAGGAAUUUUAACCAGUGACAGCAAAGAAGGGUACAAGUUUUGUUGUCAGAGUUAUGAUUCCAUGAACAGGAGGAAGACUGCGCCGGCCAUCCCCGAUUCCAUCCGCCGUCGUUACCAAGACACGAGUCAGCAGAUAUGGCAGGAACAGCAGAGCCUGGUGCUGCCCAGGAACUACCUGGAGAGAACUUACACAGCCAGGUACAAUGCUUAUGGGAACAGCCAGACUGUCAUUGUCAAGGACGCAAAGAACGUGCUGAAAACAGACGGACAGUCCGAGACUGUUCGGUCAGCACUGUGUGUGGUGAUGUGAGGACUUGUAUUAUACACAUGUACAGCUGAGUCAGAGAUAGUGGAAGAAAUGGUAUUACAUUGUAUAUGUAGAAUAUUAUUAUUGCAGUUGUACAUGUAGGAUGAGAUAUUGCAGUUGUCUUCGAAUGUGCUAUUGCACUGCUUGUUCACAUACUGUGUUGAAUUGGAAAAGUUGUUCAUUCAUGAUUAAACUGUUAAGAAAAAUAUUGCCACAUUCAACAUUCCAAGUUGGUACCCAUAAAAUAGACUGUUUCCUGUAAGAGUUUACUCUGGGUGAAAUGUCCUUUUUAAAAAAAAUCCCCUGGCCCCCAGCUGGCUGGUUUGUGUGUUAUGUGUCUGUGUAUCUUUAAUAAGUGUAUUUACCAAGUUAUGUCAUGUUUAUUUGAUGCAUAGAUGAGCCAGUUGUAGGAACUCUAACAGUGUGAGUUGCAUGAAUUUGAACCCUAACAGGCUGAAGGUUAACCCAUUACCAUUCAAA
This is a long non-coding RNA of Branchiostoma belcheri (Belcher's lancelet), 1366 nucleotides long. RefSeq lists it as uncharacterized. The record is from RefSeq and is a predicted model, not a curated record. The transcript has 2 exons. Lineage: Eukaryota; Metazoa; Chordata; Leptocardii; Amphioxiformes; Branchiostomatidae.